GGCCUGCUGGGCUUUAACUGACGCUGAGGCACGAAAGCGUGGGUAGCAAACAGGAUUAGAUACCCUGGUAGUCCACGCUGUAAACGAUGAUUACUAGGUGUGGGGGGACUGACCCCUUCCGUGCCGGAGUUAACACAAUAAGUAAUCCACCUGGGGAGUACGGCCGCAAGGUUGAAACUCAAAGGAAUUGACGGGGGCCCGCACAAGCAGUGGAGUAUGUGGUUUAAUUCGAAGCAACGCGAAGAACCUUACCAGGUCUUGACAUCCAACUAACGAGGUAGAGAUACAUUAGGUGCCCUUCGGGGAAAGUUGAGACAGGUGGUGCAUGGUUGUCGUCAGCUCGUGUCGUGAGAUGUUGGGUUAAGUCCCGCAACGAGCGCAACCCUUGCUAUUAGUUGCUACGCAAGAGCACUCUAAUAGGACUGCCGUUGACAAAACGGAGGAAGGUGGGGACGACGUCAAAUCAUCAUGCCCCUUAUGUCCUGGGCGACACACGUACUACAAUGGCCGUCACCAGAGGGAGGCAAAAUAGCGAUAUGGCGCAAACCCCUAAAAACGUCUCAGUUCAGAUCGCAUGCUCACCCGCCUGCACAAGUCGGA
This 600-nucleotide ribosomal RNA is filed under the name uncultured bacterium. Its description in RNAcentral is "bacterial SSU rRNA". It matches the Rfam family "Bacterial small subunit ribosomal RNA", at positions 723 to 1330 of the family's 1533-position model. The record is from RNAcentral.